GAUGAACGCUGGCGGCGUGCUUAACACAUGCAAGUCGAACGGUAAGGCCCCUCGGGGUACACGAGUGGCGAACGGGUGAGUAACACGUGGGUGAUCUGCCCUGCACUUCGGGAUAAGCCUGGGAAACUGGGUCUAAUACCGGAUAGGACCCUGGGAUGCAUGUCCUGGGGUGGAAAGCUUUUGCGGUGUGGGAUGGGCCCGCGGCCUAUCAGCUUGUUGGUGGGGUGAUGGCCUACCAAGGCGACGACGGGUAGCCGGCCUGAGAGGGUGACCGGCCACACUGGGACUGAGAUACGGCCCAGACUCCUACGGGAGGCAGCAGUGUGGAAUAUUGCACAAUGGGCGCAAGCCUGAUGCAGCGACGCCGCGUGAGGGAUGACGGCCUUCGGGUUGUAAACCUCUUUCAGCACCGACGAAGCGCAAGUGACGGUAGGUGCAGAAGAAGGACCGGCCAACUACGUGCCAGCAGCCGCCGUAA
RNAcentral lists this ribosomal RNA (478 nucleotides) under uncultured bacterium. Its description in RNAcentral is "partial 16S ribosomal RNA". It matches the Rfam family "Bacterial small subunit ribosomal RNA", at positions 28 to 523 of the family's 1533-position model. The record is from RNAcentral.